This 253-nucleotide ribosomal RNA is filed under the name uncultured prokaryote. Its description in RNAcentral is "partial 16S ribosomal RNA". It matches the Rfam family "Bacterial small subunit ribosomal RNA", at positions 525 to 777 of the family's 1533-position model. The record is from RNAcentral.
ACAGAGGUGGCAAGCGUUGUUCGGAAUUACUGGGCGUAAAGGGCUCGUAGGCGGCCAACUAAGUCGGACGUGAAAUCCCCAGGCUCAACCUGGGAACUGCGUCCGAUACUGGAUGGCUUGAAUUCGGGAGAGGGAUGCAGAAUUCCAGGUGUAGCGGUGAAAUGCGUAGAUAUCUGGAGGAAUACCGGUGGCGAAGGCGGCAUCCUGGACCAUUACUGACGCUGAGGCGCGAAAGCUAGGGGAGCAAACGGGA